GUGCAAGCAGGCGCGAAAACUUCACACUGUGCGAAAGCACGAUGAGGGAAUCCCAAGUGCUUGCACGUAAGUGUAAGCUGUUUCUCUGUCUAAAACGCAGAGAGAGUAAGGGCUGGGUAAGACGGGUGCCAGCCGCCGCGGUAAUACCUGCAGCUCAAGUGGUGACCGUUAUUAUUGGGCCUAAAACGUCCGUAGCCGGUUUAAUAAAUGCCUGGGUAAAUUGUGUAGCUUAACUAUACGAAUUCCGGAUAGACUGUUAAACUUGAGACCGGGAGAAGUUAGAGGUACCCCUGGGGUAGAGGUGAAAUUCUGUAAUCCUAGGGGGACCACCAGUGGCGAAGGCGUCUAACUAGAACGGGUCUGACGGUGAGGGACGAAGCCCUGGGGCGCAAACGGGGAUUAGGAUA
This 407-nucleotide ribosomal RNA is filed under the name uncultured microorganism. Its description in RNAcentral is "bacterial SSU rRNA". It matches the Rfam family "Archaeal small subunit ribosomal RNA", at positions 330 to 735 of the family's 1478-position model. The record is from RNAcentral.